RNAcentral lists this ribosomal RNA (468 nucleotides) under uncultured bacterium. RNAcentral's name for it is "partial 16S ribosomal RNA". It matches the Rfam family "Bacterial small subunit ribosomal RNA", at positions 28 to 507 of the family's 1533-position model. The record is from RNAcentral.
GACGAACGCUGGCGGCGUGCUUAACACAUGCAAGUCGAACGGAAAGGCCCUGCUUUUGUGGGGUGCUCGAGUGGCGAACGGGUGAGUAACACGUGAGUAACCUGCCCUUGACUUUGGGAUAUCUUCAGGAAACUGGGGCUAAUACCGGAUAGGAGCUCCUGCUGCAUGGUGGGGGUUGGAAAGUGUCGGCUGUUGGGGAUGGAUUCGCGGCUUAUCAGCUUGUUGGUGGGGUAGUGGCUUACCAAGGCUGUGACGGGUAGGCGGCAUGGGAGCGUUGCCGGCCACAAUGGGCCUGAGGGACGGAGCAGUCGCCUACGGGCGGCAGCAGUGGGGAGCAUUGCAGAACGGGCGGAAGCCAGUGGCAGCAACCCUCGGAUCGGGAUGCCCGCUUACUAGUUGUAAACAGAUGUCGACUGAGCUGAACACGGCUUGACGGUAACGGGUCAAGAAGCCCCGGCUAACUACGUG